GAUUUCGGUACAAAAAAUAUAUCGCGUUCACAUAAUUAAUUCUUCGCUCAAGAAAACCGUGUGACAUCGCUAGUAAUAUAUAUUAUAGAAAAUCGCGUAGUAGAUAUUUAUAAAAACAUUUAUAGUAUAUGAUAAAACAGUAAUUUCUCUUUUGCUAUUCAUAAUAAAUAUUAUCUACAGCAGAGUAGCUUUUCGUAAUAUUAUUAUUUUUGGCUGUUACGGUUCUUUUAAUAUCAAGAUUGAUCUUCAUUGGUCUAGAUUCUUUUUCGAUCGUUCUUGUACACGUAAAUCGAUAUCUCUUGAAACAGGUGUUUCAUACUUCUUUCAAUCUAUCCGAUAAUGAGCAUUCUGCAUUUAAAUUUUCUGCAUUACUUCUUACGUAUGCAAAUGUAUAAUAAAAAAAAAAGUAUUUACAAAUUCAUAUCAGUGCCAAAUUAAUUUUUAUUUAACUUUUAUUAUUAUAUUAUACACGAUCUGUGAUUUUUUUGAAGUCUUAUUGGCGUAUACUUAAACUAUCGUGAAUCAUCUGUAUGCAAACUAAAAUGUUUAAUCGUCAUAAUAAAGUCAACAUUUAGAUAUAAGUAUAAUAAAUGCGCAACUCACAACUACGCAACUUUUGCUAAAAGUAUCUACACUUGCGACGAAGUCGUAAUCGUCAGUGGCAUAGUGUACACAUGAUAAUGUUAAGACGCUCGAAAUAAAAUAAAAUAUAAAACGAAUCAGUUAAAAAGUGUACGCUUAUGUGAUACAGCAUCGACUCCGAAGUUCGAAAACUUUUUAUAGUGCCCCAAUGAGAGAAAACGGUCUUCUUUUUAAAGUGCGUUAUAAAUUUACAUUCUCCAUUAAUUUGCUUAUUGUUAAUCAAAUCAUGUAUCAUAUCGAUGAUUCAUUUGUGAUAUGUGUAUCAAAAGAAAGUAUAAAAGAGUCGUGAUAAAACGUGCGACACAGUAUAGUGCAAGGAACAAUUCUGCGCUCCGCGUGACACGCGAUAAUUAGUCAGUAUUUUUCCAGAGUUUUCUGCCACAUCUACGAGACUCUCGUCUCCUUCUGAGCCAAAAUUAUUUUACGACUCGGGCAAUCUAUCACCGUAUCUCAAGGACGAAAUAAUUUCUGCGCGAUAGAAGUAUAUUUGCAAUUGCGCAACUAAUUGUUGAAAACGUGUUUGCUAACUCGUUAGCUGGCUCCAAUUUAUACCUGUUAAGUUCUGUGUUGCCUGUCCUGCACGACGAUGGAGGAAAGCCAGUGCCCGAGAAUUGUCAGCCGAAAGGAAUGGAAAGCCAGGAAGCGCCUCAAUUUCGAGAUAAUGCCGAUUACACCAACACCGUACGUGGUGAUCCAUCACGGCGGCAUACGUAAAUACUGUCGGGAUCAGGAGACGUGCUCUUCGAUAGUUAGAUCCUAUCAGAACUUACAUAUGGACGAAAAUGGCUGGUGGGACAUUGGCUAUAAUUUCCUCAUUGGCGAGGACGGCAACGUCUAUGAGGGUCGCGGCUGGGACUACACGGGUGCGCAUGCACCUGGAUACAACACCCAGAGUAUUGGCAUUUGCUUCAUGGGAGACUUUAGCGACUUUCUUCCCAACGCGGCUGCCCUGAAGACGUUGAACGAGCUGAUAGCUUGCGGGGUUUCACUUGGCAAGAUAAAGAACAGCUACAAUGUGAUCGGUCAUCGACAAACACGGAUCACGGAAUGCCCUGGCGAGAGAUUUUAUAAGUAUGUGGUUACCCUACCCGGUUGGACCGCGGAUCCAAUACCUCACAAUCGUUCGACCACGACCACGAUGAUGCCAAGUGUACAGGGCAUCGCAGAGGGGACUAGCCAAUCGAACAUUCGAUCAUGAUAAUAUUUCUAGCUCGUUGUCACGUAAACCACAAUUCUAGUGAAUUCUAAGUAUAGAACAGACAUUUGACGUAACAAAGAACUACUUGAAUAUCAUUUCUAGAGCGCAAUGGGGCGCUAGAGCACCAAAAACAGAAGCUUCUCCUCUCACGUUAAAACCAGCACCUUUCGUAAUCAUUCAUCAUUCGGAUACCUCCGGUUGUGAAGUUCAAGCUAUAUGUCA
Molecule: RNA transcript, 2062 nt
Organism: Solenopsis invicta (red fire ant)
Lineage: Eukaryota; Metazoa; Arthropoda; Insecta; Hymenoptera; Formicidae
Gene name: peptidoglycan-recognition protein SC2
Exons: 4
Source: RefSeq, a predicted model, not a curated record